This 436-nucleotide ribosomal RNA is filed under the name uncultured bacterium. RNAcentral describes it as "partial 16S ribosomal RNA". It matches the Rfam family "Bacterial small subunit ribosomal RNA", at positions 29 to 507 of the family's 1533-position model. The record is from RNAcentral.
AACGAACGCUGGCGGCAUGCCUAACACAUGCAAGUCGAACGAGAUCCUUCGGGGUCUAGUGGCGAACGGGUGCGUAACGCGUGGGAAUCUGCCCUUAGGUUCGGAAUAACAGUUAGAAAUGACUGCUAAUACCGGAUGAUGACGUUAAGUCCAACGAUUUGUCGCCUGAGGAUGAGCCCGCGUAGGAUUAGCUAGUUGGUGUGGUAAAGGCGCACCAAGGCGACGAUCCUUAGCUGGUCUGAGAGGAUGAUCAGCCACACUGGGACUGAGACACGGCCCAGACUCCUACGGGAGGCGGCAGAGGGGAAUAUUAGACAAUGGGCGAAAGCCUGAUCCAGCAAUGCCGCGUGAGUGAUGAAGGCCUUAGGGUUAUAAAGCUCUUUUACCCGAGAUGAUAAUGACAGUAUCGGGAGAAUAAGCCCCGGCUAACUCCGUG